RNAcentral lists this ribosomal RNA (915 nucleotides) under uncultured archaeon. RNAcentral's name for it is "bacterial SSU rRNA". It matches the Rfam family "Archaeal small subunit ribosomal RNA", at positions 1 to 923 of the family's 1478-position model. The record is from RNAcentral.
UUCCGGUUGAUCCUGCCGGAGGCUACCGCUAUUGGAGUCCGACUAAGACAUGCGAGUCGAGAGCUUUCGGAGCUCGGCAUACUGCUCAGUAACACGUGGGUAACCUGCCCUAUGCUGGGGGAUAACCUCGGGAAACUGAGAACAAUACCCCAUAGUCCACUACGCCUGGAACGGUGAGUGGAUAAAAGCCCCGGCGGCAUAGGAUGGGCCUGCGGCGUAUCAGGUAGUAGGGGGUGUAAAGUACCCUCUAGCCUUCGACGCGUACGGGUUGUGAGAGCAAUAGCCCGGAGAUGGAUUCUGAGACACGAAUCCAGGUCCUACGGGACGCAGCAGUCGCGAAACCUUGACAAUGCGGGAAACCGUGAUCAGGGGACUCCAAGUGCCAGGAGUAAGAUCCUGUGCUUUUCUUUUCUCUUCAAAGGAUUUGGAAUAAGAGGUGGGUAAGGACGGUGCCAGCCGCCGCGGUAAUACCGGCGCCUCGAGUGGUAGUCGAUUUUAUUGGGCCUAAAACGUCCGUCGCCUGUCUGGUGCAUUCGUGGGUAAAUCAACCCGCUCAACGGGUUGAAUUCUGCGAGCACGGCCAGACUAGGGACCGGGAGAGGUGUGGGGUACGCUCGGGGUAGGGGUAAAAUCCUGUCAUCCCGAGCGGACCACCUGUUGCGAAGGCGCCACACUAGAACGGAUCCGACGGUCAGGGACGAAGCCUAGGGGCACGAACCGGAUUAGAUACCCGGGUAGUCCUAGGUGUAAACGCUGUGGACUUGGUGUUGGGAACUCCCAGAGGGCUCUCAGUGCCGUAGCGAAGGUGAUAAGUCCACUGCCUGGGGAGUACGGUCGCAAGGCUGAAACUUAAAGGAAUUGGCGGGGGACACCGCAACCUGAGGAUUGUGCGGUUUAUUGGAUUCAACGCCGGGA